RNAcentral lists this ribosomal RNA (451 nucleotides) under uncultured soil bacterium. RNAcentral's name for it is "partial 16S ribosomal RNA". The record is from RNAcentral.
GAAUUCGAUUCGGUGUGACAAGGCCCGGGAACGUAUUCACCGCGGCGUGCUGAUCCGCGAUUACUAGCGAUUCCAACUUCAUGGAGUCGAGUUGCAGACUCCAAUCUGAACUGAGAGCGGCUUUUUGGGAUUGGCUCCCCCUCGCGGGUUCGCGACCCUUUGUACCGCCCAUUGUAGCACGUGUGUGGCCCUGGACAUAAGGGCCAUGAUGACUUGACGUCGUCCCCACCUUCCUCCGGCUUAACGCCGGCAGUCCCCCUAGAGUGCCCAACUGAAUGGUGGCAACUAAGGGCGAGGGUUGCGCUCGUUGCGGGACUUAACCCAACACCUCACGGCACGAGCUGACGACAGCCAUGCAGCACCUGAACCGGCGGUCCCCGAAGGGAAGGCCCUAUUUCUAGGACUGUCCGCCGUUGUCUAGCCCAGGUAAGGUUCUUCGCGUUAAUCACUA